UUGAGGUGAUUUGAGUGUGUAUUGACUUUGUAAGAGUUUUCCAAAGUUAGGAUUUUUUUGGAUGACUUUGGAUUUAUGAAAUAAAGUGGGUGAUAAUAUUUGGAGAAUUUCAUAAGUUUAACAAUAGAUCUAUAAAUAAAAUUUUGAGGGUUUGUAGAUAUAUAUGUAUUCAAUAUAUGUUAUGAGUUUGAGCUUGAUCAAAGAGUUGAAUCAAGGAUUAUUGAGGAUUAAGUGGGUCAGGGUCUCAAGAAGUAGAGUUUUAAGUCUAGUGAGGGUUUCUACGAUUUCUUGCAAUCUAUCAAUUGAAUAGGAGUGAAAACUAUGUGUGUGGGUAAUUGACUUAUUUUCCUACAUAUAUGAGGAAUUUGAGAUCAAUCAAAUGGUUUGAUAAGGAGAUAUUAAUACUAAAAAUUUAACAUUUAGAUUGAAGAAGGAUGAUGGCCAACACUCAUGUAAAUAUUAGGAUUGAUCUUCUUUUUGGUGAGUUUGAUCUUCUUCAAAAUCUUUGUGCUUAUUUUCAAGUUAAUUGUAAAGAGGUGUAUAAAAUUUCAAUCAAAUUCAAUGGUUCAUUCAUUAGUUAUUAAGGUUUAAAUCUACUGUAAGAAUUACUUGGAAUUAUUUAGAAUUUGAUUAGGAUAUGUUUAGGAUUUGAUUAGGAUUCAGUUAAGAUUUAUUUAGGUUUAUUUAGGAUUUGAUUAAGAUUUUUUAGGAUUUGGUUAGGAUUUGAUUAAGAUUUGAUUAGGAUUUGGUUAGGAUUUGACUAUGAUUUGGUUAGGGUUUGGUUAAGGUUUGAUGUCAAGGACAUGAAUCUCGAAGAAAGAGAAUCCUCAAUACAUUCUUCUA
Molecule: long non-coding RNA, 843 nt
Filed under: Physcomitrium patens
Lineage: Eukaryota; Viridiplantae; Streptophyta; Bryopsida; Funariales; Funariaceae
Description: long non-coding RNA (PPAT_LNC014593)
Source: RNAcentral